This is a long non-coding RNA of Coregonus clupeaformis (lake whitefish), 962 nucleotides long. RefSeq lists it as uncharacterized. The record is from RefSeq and is a predicted model, not a curated record. The transcript is spliced from 3 exons. NCBI's taxonomy places the organism in Eukaryota, Metazoa, Chordata, Actinopteri, Salmoniformes, Salmonidae.
UGUAAUUUUGAUAUCAUGGAUGGCCAGCUCUGUCUGAAUUUGAGAGUGGUUAUAUUUCUCCAGGCCCAUCCCUUAGUUUUUUACCAAAAGAGAGGUGGGGUGUCCGCUUUGUUAUUGUUUCAAUUAAGGAUUCUAGCUUUAAAAGGUCUCGGUAUAAUGUUUUCUCCAAUACAUUCUGAGAACAUUAAAAGGGAUUCAAUUUAUACUGUACCUUCCAGCUUUUUUGCUUUGAUAACAGGUUUUGCUCUUUAAAGUUGUUCUCACCUGACUGUCUCCAUGUUGAUUAUGUUGUUAAGGCUGAUGCAGACGGGUUUUACGUGGGCGAUGAUUAUGGAUAUUUCCACUGGAAUGAAGAACAUGGCCAUUGGGAGAGGUGGACCCUAAACAACAACGAGUACAACUAUGAGUAUGCGUACAAGUAUGACCAGGAUCAACCUGGUCAAGGGGCCAAAUGGGAAAUAGAGGCUGGUUCUUCUCAGAUUGUCGAUGCUCCUGCCCAUCUCCCCCUCCCUACUUCCUCUGAUCUCCCUCAGCAGAGCCCACAGGAGCAGCCUGGAUUCCUCGCAGCAUCCCCUUGGCCUCUUGCAAACGUUGGGACUCUUGAGGAGAUGAUUGAGAUUGCAUGGCAGAAGUGUCAGGAGUACCAAUCUAAGUUCUUCAUGUGGUAUUGUGUUACCCUGUUGUGCACACAGAGUAGGGCACAGGUACGUUUAUUCGUUGGAUGAGACAGCAGAGUUAGAAUGAAUGAUGAGGGAGGGGAUGAUUAUUAUGGUUUGCAUAUUCAUAAGUAAGCAAACAGAUAUGUUUUAGGCCAUGCGUCUAUUACAUUGUAAUUGAUUAUAUGUUGUUUCUGGACUAAACUUCUCUUUCUAUACCACUAUCUAUAGCCCAUCUCUCCACCAGUGAAGCCCAUCGUGGCUGAGCUAACCAUCUCUCCACCAGUGAAGCCCAUCGUGGCUGAG